GACGAACGCUGGCGGCGUGCUUAACACAUGCAAGUCGAACGGGAAGGCCCUGCUUUUGUGGGGUGCUCGAGUGGCGAACGGGUGAGUAACACGUGAGUAACCUGCCCUUGACUUUGGGAUAACUUCAGGAAACUGGGGCUAAUACCGGAUAGGAGCUCCUGCUGCAUGGUGGGGGUUGGAAAGUGUCGGCGGUUGGGGAUGGACUCGCGGCUUAUCAGCUUGUUGGUGGGGUAGUGGCUUACCAAGGCUUUGACGGGUAGCCGGCCUGAGAGGGUGACCGGCCACAUUGGGACUGCGAUACGGCCCAGACUCCUACGGGAGGCAGCAGUGGGGAAUAUUGCACAAUGGGCGGAAGCCUGAUGCAGCAACGCCGCGUGCGGGAUGACGGCCUUCGGGUUGUAAACCGCUUUCGCCUGUGACGAAGCGUGAGUGACGGUAAUGGGUAAAGAAGCACCGGCUAACUACGUG
Molecule: ribosomal RNA, 468 nt
Filed under: uncultured bacterium
Lineage: Bacteria
Description: partial 16S ribosomal RNA
Rfam family: Bacterial small subunit ribosomal RNA
Source: RNAcentral